AAGGGGAAUAACAUUUGAAAUGUAAAUAAAUAAAAUAUCCAGUAAAUAAAUAAAAGGAAAAGAAGAAACCAAGUUCCAUUUUCAUACACGUUUAUGUAGCUGUCCUGUUAUAGCUAAUGAAUCAUGGACACAUGGACACGUUUCUUUGAAUGCAUUUUUUUGUUUAAAAUACUGUAUGGGCUUGUGUGUGUAGUUAGAUGGUUUGGUGGGCUGGUUCUCUCACACUAUGUGGGUCACAGAUCCAGCUCAGGGUGGGGAUCAGUCUCUGACUUGUCAAUUUUAGCAUCAAGUGGCUUUAUCCAGUCCAUCUCUCUGGCUCCUGAGUGUAUUUUUCGAUAAGAACUGAUCAAGUAAAGGCCUCAAGUUACUAGGGUAGAUCCAUUGUUUGAGAAAGAAACAGGCGGUAAUGCUGACUCCUUGUUGGAAAGUUUGCACUCACAGAGAUUUCUGCUUUGUUUAUGGUGCCUUGAAUUGCACCCAGGUUCCCACCCUCCGUCCAGUUCCAGUGCUUAAGGUGCUAGCCUAAGUCUGUACUGAAUCCUUCGCCCACAGCCCAGGGUCUGGCCUUUGGGUAUAUGAACUACACGCUCACGGAGCUGCCCCGUUCCCUCUGUCCUAGUUGGUUUUUUGUUUUUGUUUUAUUUGUGUAUGCGUGGGAGGUGGAUACACAGAGCGUCACUUUAUAAUUUAAGCCUAAACUGACUUGAAACUUGCUGCAACCCUCCUUCCCCAGUGUCAGAGCUGGGAUUGCAGGGGUGAGUACGCCAUUCUUGGCAGGAUUGUCCCACCUUCAGAGGAAAGGGGCCACUAGGGAACCUAGGUUAAUUCAGGUUUUCAUAAGGAAUAAUUUGUCUGAUUCAGUGGCUGGAAAGGAAUCAAGUCCUUAAAAAUGCUUUACAACAUACUAAGGUCUCUGUAUUUUGAGCUGCAGAGUUUAAAACAAAUAUUUCCAUGUGGCAACUUUGGCCGUAGAAAAAUAUCUGUAUUGAAAAUCUGGUUUGACAUUAGGUGGAGGGAGGGGAGUCUUUCAGAAGAGGGUGAGGAAGAGGUAAGAGCCGAGGGGUCAAAGACACCAAAAGAAAAUGGUUCAUGGAAUUCAUGGAAUCAAACAACCAUGGAUCCUAGGGCAUCCCAGAAACUGGGCUACCUACCAGGGAGCCUGUAAGGGGCUGACUUAGGUCCUCUGGGUAUUCGUUAUGGUUGUGUAGCUUGGUGUUCUUGUGAGAUUCCUAACAGUGGGAGUGAGGGUGUCUCUGACUCUUUGCCUGCUUUGGGGUCCCCUUUUCUCUUCCUGGAUUGUCUCGUCCAGUCUCAGUAUGAGGGCAUGUUCAUUCUCUUACUGCUACUUGAUGUGCCCUGUCUGGGUGUUAUCUCUAGGAGGAAGGAGGAGGAGGAGGAGAUCUGUGGAGAGGAGAGAGGGUGACUGCAGCAGGGAUCUAAUGUGUAAGAAAGAAAUUCCAAGAGGAAUUUUUAAAAUUCAAAAGAAAAAAGGAAAGACAGACAGACAGACAAACCUGGUUUGAGCAAUAUGAAUGUACACAGAAGGAAGCUGAAAGAGGCCCACUUUCCUCUUCAGAUCAUCAUUUGUUGCUUGCUACUUUGAUCUGGUGCUCCUUAGAAAAAGCUGUGUAAUUGCUGCUUGUCUUUUGAUGUAGUUGUAUCCUGAAAAAACCCUUUGUAAGUAAGAAAAAGCUCUACCUAGUAUUUGCCUGCUAGGUACCAUAAGAGCAAGCUGUAGAAUGUCAGUUGUUUACCUCCCGUGAGUCAGCCUGCUGGGGAUUGCUUGUCAUCUGCACCAUGUAUCACAGAUUUUAAAGUGUACUUUUUCUGGAUGCAGCACUGUAAUAUUUAGAAAUGGUAAAUCAGUCAUUGUAAGUUGGAGAGCAACCUUAUGUGGUGAGAAAGAACUAUUGAUUGUUUAUUUUGUUUUAUAGGCUGCUAUGAAAAAGACUCUUAUACCAGAAAAACAUAACUGUUAUACUCUGCUACUGUAUUUUAUCAUAAAAUAGUUUGUUUUUGGAGAGGUUUUUCUCACUUGAGACUUUGGGUCACUUUUUUUUUUCUUCUUUUUUUGCUAGUUACCUACAGAGGUCCUCCUAAUUAAAGAAUUUGACAAUAUAUUGGAUUCUAUCAAAUGGAGCCCCUUUCCUAUCCUUGAGUCUUUGGCCUAGAUUAUCUGGGAUGUAAGAGCAGACACUGAAAUCAUCCCCAGCUCUGCCAUUUGAAGUUGUACAUGGGAUGCUGUAGGUGGUGGUGCCCUGGAGUCACAGUGAGUGCUCACCCUGCAUGAAGGGCCAGGCUCGCCCAGGAUCAGCACCCUGCAGAGCACUCAGCCAGCCAUGGUGCUAUACCAAGUGUCAGAUUCACAUGCAUGAGUGGAUAGCAUUGGGCUGACCAGGAUGUGGUGGCCAGCUAGAUAUCGAAGAUCUCGGAUGAUGGCUAACUGACUUCUGAAGUCGUGAGUCUCUUCUGGGGCUCAGCUCUGGAAAACCUGGUGCAAUGGAAAGGGGUCUUUUUUAUGUUGGAAAGGGGCUGUAUAAAGUUUCUUCCCAUCUCAACCCCUUCCCUCCCUCCCUCCCUCCCUCCCUCCCUCCCUCCCUCCCUCCCUCCUUUCUUUCUUUCUUUCUUUCUUUCUUUCUUUUUACCAAAAACAUAUGGUUGGUAGCUAGCGCCAGGAAGGCUGAGCUGCAAGGAUGGAAAAUUCGAGACCAGCUUGUAAACCCUGCCUCCUAAAGGUUGAGAGGAAGGAGUAAUACAUAUGUGCUCAACAGGCUUUAAGGCUAAAUGUAUUUUGGAGUCUCUUCUAUAAGUAUUCUUUACAUACACACGCACACACAUGCACACAGUCUCUCUCACACAAACACUCACUUAAAUGAAUAAGUUUAAGAGGAAGCAGUAGUCUAAAUGUGCAGCUCCAGCUAGAGAGUGCAGAUUGGUUUGGUUGGAUGCUGAAGAGCAGUAACAAUGGAGGAUGUAGAAAUACCAUCUGAAUUAUACAGCGGAUGGCAGAACUGUGUGUGCAUCAGCUGCGUUAGCUGUGCAUGGAAGUCAGGGUGGGUUUGCACAGCUAUUCCUGUGCUGGUUGACUCUUCACUAUUUGUCUCACAGUUGCAAACUUCUAAGUGAUCUAAAAGCAAAGAUUAGAAAACUCUGGGUCAUAUUUUAAUGAUGUAUUCUUUCAUUUUUAAUUAUGUGUAUGUAUGUAUGUAUGUAUGUGCUUUUGCCCCCAGCCCAUGCUGUGCUGCAGAUCGGUGCCAUAAGUGCCUGUACUGUAGCAGCCACUCGCACACAGCCCAGCACCUCCAGAAUAUUAAGUUUCCUUUCCAUUGCUAACGUCAUAAAGCUUUGAUUUAAAAAUGAGGACCUUUCCUUUCCAUCAGACAUGCUUUCCAUUGCUUCUUUGUGUUGUUCUGUCCCUAAUGUUCUUUCACUCUGUGAUUCCAACAGUUCCCGCUGUAGCUGGGUUGCUCCUGAGGGUUAAGCUUCAGGAAUCGCUCCAGCUCUUGUCUUCUUUUGUAGUUACCUCCUGACAGGUGGAGGAGGCUCUGCUCUUGGACUCUCACCACUCUCACUCCUGCCAGGCACGUCCUGACAUUUCCUGGCUGACUCGCUUGCUUCUUACAGGUCGCUCAUUACUUCUCACUGGAGGCUGGCAAUUUCUCUGAGAAUAUCUGAGUCUCUGUGGGCCUUUCCCGGAGAACACUCUCUACUUUGUACCUUAUAGUUAUUUAUAUAUUUGCAUAUUUAGUUUUGCAGAAUAGCUACCUGCUGCCCUCUUCUGGCUUCAUAUUAGUUUGACCUUAAGUAAAUUUUAAUUAUUGUCUUGGAGAGACCCAUGGUUUCCCAAAACUGACUUGAUUGAGAAAAAUCACUUAGGUGAAUUUUUCUUUUAAAUUUGCAGUACAUGGUUUUCCAUUUUUAGAGAUUCUAUUUAAUUAAGUAUGGGGGGAGGGGGGUGGUUAUUGGUAGAGUAACAAAAACAACACUUGGUGUUAAAAGUCUCCAGCCAGUUAUUAAAAUCUGACUGUAAGAUAAGGAGGUAGUCCUUAGACACCUGGAGAUGUAGUCCUCACACUUUAAAAUGUCACAGGUAAAGAAAUAGACAAGGAAUAUAGGACUUUACCUUCGUCAGAAAAAAAGAAAAACAAAAACAAAAAGAAAAAAUGAAUUUGGCAGAAAAAAAGGCCUGCUCCUGCCUGUGUUGGUUUGGUAAUUUUACUCUAGUGACAGUCUUGGGAACUCUCAGCAAUAUUUAUAGCAGCCAGGACUAAGGGACUUUGACACAGCAGCCAGGACUAAGGGAAGUUGACACUAAUUUUAUGGAAUCUUAACCCACUAUGUUUUGUUUUUUGAAAUGCAAAGACAAACAGAACAAAAACAAAACAAAAGCCCUCUGAUGCUAACAGCUUCUGGGGCUGUUCUCCAGCAAACUGGAGUUUGGGAGCACAGGCCCCAGGUCCAGCAGCCCAGCCACCCUCCAAAUACACCCGCUGAAAGGAUGAGCGGAGCUGAAAGGUAGAGGACAGAGAUCUAACAUGUUAGGAGGAACAAAUGAAGGGCCCAGGGCCCCUUGUCGAAUCACUGGGUACCAACAUGAGCUUUGCAUUCCUAUAGAGAGGAGUUUUGGGGACACAUUUGCAUACUCAAGCACUUGUGGCUGGGCUACGGGCUGGUUGAUUAUUAGUUCUGAUUCUGCAGGAUGCCCAAAGAGGUCUGUACAACUGACUGUCAGCAUGGCAAGAUCAGACUGGUUCCUACAAGGCGCUCGCUUCUGCUCUCUUGUCCUUAGUGGUAUUUGUCUCCACGUUGGAGAGUCUGUCCUUGGAGGAUAUGGUAUUCUCGGGAUCCAGGUCUUGUGCUGUACCUUCAGCCUUGGAAGGGGAUGAGAUAAGUUGGUAGACACUCCUUGAGAGAUGCUCUUGCCUGUGCAGAGUGAAGUAGGAGUUCCAUCCAGAGGCAAGGACCUAACAAAACAGUCAUGCUAGGCUUCAUUGCCUUUUAAAAAGUCUACUUGGUGACUCAAAUGAGAAGUCAGUGUUUUUGUUUUUUUUUUUUUAAAGAAACCCUGAUGAAAACAUACACAAACAUAACAGACAGAAAAACAGAUUCUGCGUGUGUUUCUGUUUUGAAGUUCUGGCUCAGAGAUAAUGGUGUUUAUAUGGCUUGGGAUUCUUUGUUUCUCUUUACCUUUGGUUCACUAACUGUAAUUCUCCAAUCUGAAGCAUAUGGAUCUUCUAAACUCGUCUAUGUCUGUAGACUGUUUAAAUGCCUUUGAUCUGCUAUAUGCUUUAAAAUAGAUAAAUUCACAUCUUGUGUGUAUAAUGUAAAACGUCUGUGUUGGCAGUCAUGUGGUCAGGGCUGAUGCUGCUUCUUGGUGUAGAAAGCUGCUGGACAUGUAUGGCUCCCUGGGUUUCCUCUCAGCACCACAAGCAUGAAGGGUCAUGUUUUUUGGAAAAUUAAUUGCAACCCUGUUGAACUCAUUUCAUUCCCUUUUAUUUGCAUGAAGGAUAUAAAGGUAUUAUCCAGUUGAACAGUUUAUAAAUUAAUGUUUAUAAACUGAAGGAAUGUAAUAAUUUUUUUCUCUUAAACUUUGGUACUAAUUGCAUUUAAAGUUGUUCCAAAUAUGUGGUGUUUAGAUAUAUACAUUUUCCUUAGGAAACUACUCCUGCUUCUCUCUCAUCUUAAGCCAUCUUCUCCCUGCUAUUCUUCCUCCCUCUGAGAUUAUUUCCUUAAUGUUGUUAAUACAGACCUCUCUCCCCACCUCCCACCCCUGCCCUGCCUGUUUAGCCUGUCCUACUCCAGAGGCAGAGCGAACAGUGGUUAGCUGCUUCUGAUGCAGACAAGGCUGGGCGAGGCCAAGGUGGGCAUUGGAGUAACUGGGGUUCUUGACAUUUUCCUUUCCUUUUUGUCCCCUUUUUGUUCCUGAAGCCCGUUCUUGUAUGUGCUGUUCAGAUGUUCUUCCACUGAGCCCCGCCCCAUGGAAGAUAACAUUUGGUUUCACACUGAAUCUAGUAUUCUUUGAUUCCUGAACUACUCUGAAGUAUCUUGUCAGGGUUGCCAGGCAUUUUACUUAAAAAUUUAUUUGUAAAUGACAUCCCUCUGAGGGGUCUUGCUUGCCCUGUGCCCAUCUGGCUGUCUUUGGGCGUGAGCCAUUUCACCUGCUUGUUUCCUAUGCAGAUUGUGUGGUUUGAGGCCGCAGGGCUUGGGGACCUGGAACUGGGCUGUUGGGAAUUGGUUCUAAUGCUUUUGUCUUACUUUGGCUCCCAAAAGCUAAGCUUCCAGACCUGAGGGUCCCUGCCCCCAGCUGGCUUCAAUUGGUUAUAAAGAAUUGCUGUACAGCCAAUGGCUGGGCAGGGAGAUGGAGUAGGACUUUGAAAUUGUGCGGGCAAGGGACUGGGAGAUGGGAGGAAGAGGAGAAUCGCCAUGACUUGAAGGGAGAGUGGUCAGAUUUAAGAGCUGCAGGAGAAAAAUCAUCCAUCAAUGUAGGUGGAAAGGGAAAGUGACCCUAUUUGGAGCAGGGUGGGUGCCCAGAAGAUAACAGGGUGGCAAAGAUAAAAUAUAGAUUUAGAAGAUGUUAUGCCAGGAAUACUGGAGGGGUGUGUGUGUUAGCUGCAGAGAAGUUAGAAGUGUCCAGCCAUUGAGCUACUCAAGGCAUAUCAAAAUUGGCUGGUGAGUGAGAGAGAGAGAGAGAGAGAGAGAGAGAGAGAGAGAGAGAGUGUGUGUGUGAGUGUGUGUGUGUGUGUUUCAUUUGUGAAUCCAGAGCUCUUGGGCGGGCGCAGUGUGUGGAACCGGCUAGGAGCCAAAGCAGAUUAACUAAUUUGCCUGCGCACUUGGCUGUGUGUCUUUCAUCUCCUGACCCAGCCUCUGACUUCUGCAGAUGAUACCUGUUCAUUGUUCCUCUCGUGCACAGUCAGCUAGCACCUGGUCCAGAGGACACGAGAGCCUAGCAGUAUAGCGCAAGUUAUGCUAUACAUAUUACUAUACAUAGACAGUACAUACUACCUACCAUGCAUAGGAGUCAGAUCACAGUUCUCCCAUUCCCACAGACUUACAAUAAGGUUCUUUUUCAUUUAAUUUCUAAAAUUAAGGAAAUAAAAUUUCUUUCCUUAUAAACUUAUCUUGCAGUCCUAGUGCUUACAAGCUAUUGAGCAUCCAGAAGUCACUGAUGCGGCACUUGGAAUGGUGGUGGUGCAAGCAUCCGAGCGGGAGGUUACUUUUAACCAGCACUCUGUACUCACACAUUACACCUAGCAUCUCAGUAUGAUAAAUAACACCGAGAUAAAGACCUGCUUACAUAAAUGCUUGUGUCUCUUCCAUCAGUAGGCAUGGUAUUAGUUAUUCAAGUGUGUUUCAAAAGUUAGAGCUGGCAUGAAGGACUUUAGAGCUGUCUGCCUUUGGGUUGUCUCGUUAGUUUGUGGCCUUCUCCAGGGAUGAGGGAUUGUCUGAGAAAUGCCAAGGCAAUGUCCUUAUGGAAUGUAAUGAAGAAAAUAAACUCUUUCCUCAUCUACUAGCUAAAAACUCUUAGCCUUCCAACACAGUUACAAACUUUAAGUAUUUUUAUGUCGAUAUUUACAACCUAACAGGUUUGUCUAACCUAACAGAUAGAACACAAAGGUAGUAAGCAACUUUAGUAAUUUACCCUUAUGUUGUAUAACUAAGCAAUAUAAGGUGAACGGCCUUUGAUGGCAAUUUGCUUUCUGAAGUCCUGAGUAUACAGUGGUGCCAUAGAACAUCCUGAGUAUACAGUGGUGCCAUUGAACAUCCUGAGUAUACAGUGGUGCCAUGGAGCAUCCUGAGUAUACAGUGGUGCUGUGGAACAUCCUGAGUAUACAGUGGUGCCAUGGAGCAUCCUGAGUAUACAGUGGUGCCAUUGAACAUCCUGAGUAUAUAGUGGUGCCAUAGAACAUCCUGAGUAUACAGUGGUGCCAUAGAACAUCCUGAGUAUACAGUGGUGCUGUGGAACAUCCUGAGUAUACAGUGGUACACUGAAGACAGUUUUCCCAUAGAUUACCUCCUAAAAGUCCCUUCUUAAAAACCAUUUAAGUUUUUACUUCUUAGUUUUAUAAGUCAUUGCUAGGUUUUUGCAUCCUCACCUAGGUGGUCUUUUAAGGAACAAAAUGCCUUUCCUAAGAAAGCAUCCUGUUUUCUUCCCAAGGAAAGCUAUUCUGUGCCUCUGUCUUCUCCACUUUCCUGAGCUGUAUGUAUAUGAAAUGCGGCACAGCUCUUCUCAGGGCGGGCCAGAGAAUCCUUCUCAUUUAAAUGUUGGAAUAACCUAGUGGUUUCUAAGGGCUAGACUUUUGUAGUAAUAUAUGUUAAGUCAGGUAUUACAAGUAUACAUUAAUAUUUUUGAAAUUUAGAAUUAUUAUUUGAAACAGAGUAGUUAACUUAAAAAUUUAUAAAAAAACAACUUGAUAAAUUAUUCUCUACUUAAUUGGCUUUUUAAUUUAAUAGUUAAUCAGAUUAAAUUUAUUUACUGACAGUUCUUUUAAUUAAAAGUGCUUUAAAUCAUAGGUAAAAAGACAGUUUCAACAUUUUCUAACAGAAUGAUUAAAUCUUGUUUAGGUUAUUCUAUCAGUACACAUUUUACAAUUAAUGUCUUAAUGCAAAUAAACAUGAUUAAAACAGUUUCCUAUGUCAGCAAUUUAAUGAUAAUGAGAAGAGCUGGAAAUAAAUACAUGUUGGUUGUGAAUCAAAAUGCUAAAUGAACCCAUCUAUACAAACAAAUCAUUUUAAGCCUGAUUAUUUUUUUGGUCUACUAUGGGUGGCAUCAGCCUGUUACUUUUGGAAAAAAAGAAAAUUACACAAGUAAAUUAAGACAUGGCACAAAUAUACAAAUUUGGAAGCCUUUGCAGUAUUCAUAAAAGCUCCUUUAUGCACUAGAAUAAUAUGUAUAUUAAACAUUUUAAUAUUUACACACAAAUAGAUGUUAGUUAGCACCAUUAAUUUUUUUCCCUCAGCAAAGCUCCCAUAAAUAGCUUCACCUAAUGCUGGCUCAGCUGAUUGAUCCUCGCAUGGACACGUGUGGGAGGCAGGGCCAGUGAGAGCUUCUCACCAGGACUUUAUUAACUAGGUUUUCAAGUCUGUUCCAUCAGACGCAUUUACUAAUGGUCAGUCGUAUAUUAGUCACUAUUCUAGUUCUUGUGGACGUGGGCAGGAAAUGGAGUUGAACACCUACUCUUUUGAAACCAGCUCAAUGGUAGCAAGGUGUGGGAACAGUGGCCACUGAGAUACAAGGCCCAGAAAUAUGGAAUGGAGAGCUUUUAGAACUCGGGGCACAUACUAAUUAUCUCUAGGCAUGAAACAAAUUUACGAAGUUAAAAAGUAAGCAUUGAUAAGAUGUGGUCAACUUUCUGGAGAAAAUGGAAGGGAAUGUGUACUGGCUAGUUUUGUGUCAACUUGACACAGCUGGAGUUAUCAUGGAGGAAGGAGCUUCAGUUGAGGAAAUGCCUCCAUGAGAUCCAACUGUAAGGCAUUUUCUCAAUUAGUGAGCAAGGGAGAAAGGGCCCUUGUGGGUGGGACCAUCUCAGGGCUGGUAGUCUUGGUUCUAUAAGAGAGCAGGCUGGGUAAGCCAGGGGAAGCAAGCCAGUAAGGAACAUCCCUCCAUGGCCUCUGCAUCAGCUCCUGCUUCCUGACCUGCUUGAGUUCCAGUCCUGACUUCCCUGGUGUUGAACAGCACUAUGGAAGUGUAAGCCAAAUAAACCCUUUCCUCCCCAACUUGCUUCUUGGUCAUGAUGUUUGUGCAGGAAUAGAAACCCUGACUAAGACAGAAUGAGAAUUGUUGGCAGAGAUGAAGAAGACUGUCUGAACCACGAAGCUGUGUGAUUGGGAUCAGGAGUGGGGUUUACAGUGGACUCAUCUUAGGUCAUGUGUCAAUGCCUAGACCUAACUAGAUGUGUGGCUGUAAAGAUGGAGGAUUUGAAUGUAUGGUUUUUCUUUGCAAUUCCAAUCUUACAGUAGAGGAAUGAACUGUUCAUAGCAGAAAGUUUUUCUCUGGCCUGACAAAAUAACAAAAAUUAAAUCAUACAGAGUUUUGUUUUGGGAUUGGUUUACAUGUGUUCAUUAUUGAAAAAUUAUUGCGUUUGAGAGUCAGAAAAUAUUCAAAGAUGACUAUCCACUUUCUAAAGAAGAACCAGUGUUAGUUAUUACUUUAUUCCAAAAUGUAGAUGAGGAAGAGAGUCUUCCAAAUACUUUCUGCUGGGUCAGAUUUACUUAUUCCCAGGCGAGGACACAUGUAGGCACAAAAAGGCCAGCGUGUCAGAAAAUCUUGGGAAAAUGAAAAUAUCUGUAAAAUGCUUUUAUCUACAGUAUAGAAAGAACCACUAAGAAUCCACAAUAAGAGGCAAGCAUGGUGGCACAUACAGCUUAUACAAGCACUCAGAAAGAAGUCAGGGGUUCAAAUACAGCUGAGUGGUGUGGUGAAACCUUAUCUCAGAACAAACAAAGCCUCAGUGAUAAGAAAACAAACAAUCCCAUAAAAAACAAGCAAACCACCCAAAGAAGCAGUUCACCUAAGAGGUCACACAGAUGCUGGCAGGAGUGGUCAUUAGAGAACACGAAAUUCAAACCCUACUCUACUGGUUAGACUGCCUGAAUCUCCUGAUGCUGACCUGGGCAUGAAGCGGUAAGUAUUCUUCAUUGCUUUUGUGAAGUAGACACCUGCACGUCUGUGUCCACCUCUGGGGAAUGGGAACAGCAUGUGGCCAUGGUUGAUGAAGUUGUGGUACACUCGGAAUAGAGUACUGUUGAGCAGUGAGAAUGAAAUGGUCAUUACAGCAAUGUGAACAGAACCAGAGAGAGAGGUGUUAAGUGAAUAGACCAGACUCGGCAAGACGGCACUUAGUGCUCACAUUGGAGAAUCUGAAAGGGUGGCUUUGUAAAAGUUGAGACUAGAAUGAUAAUCCUACACUGAAUUACCUACACUGCAAUGUCUAUUAAUGUUUUUGUGACUGACAGAAUAUUCCACUGCAGCAGCUUAGAGUGGAGGCUCUGUUUCCUGAGUUCAUAUUCCUUAGAAAAGGAGGCUCCAUUCCCUGAGUUCAUGUCAUUACACAGAUGUGAAAUGAGCAAGACCCAGACUCUGCUUCUGAGGGAGAACAGUGCACUUGCCCUUCUGUGCAGGGCUGCUUUGGUUUAACCCAGCAAUAGCAUGCAGAAGGCCUGACUGGAAAUCCUAACCCGGCCUCCUUCAGGUCUUUGAAGUUGUGCAGAUUGCUUGACUUCACUGAGCCCCAAAUUACCAUGAAUACAUACGGUCACCCUUCACAAGAUUAGGGAAACUCUGGUCUGUAGUGACAUCACAUUGUUGGUUGCCUGGAUCUGAGGGGAGCCUGCUUGGGAUGCUAAUUUAAAAGGACUUUUCUGAGAUUAAGAAGAUACCAUGGUUUAAGUCUGGAGAAAGGGCUCACUCAGUGAGUAAAGCAUUGAAGACCAGAGUUCCAGUCCCCAGAGCCCAUGUAACAUCCAGGACAGUGGCAGCCUGCCUGAAUCCCAGCACACUGGGACCCAGUCCCCAGAACGUUACCAGCCAGAAUGAGCUAGUCCUAAUGAUGGUGGGCUCCUGGUUCCAGGAGAGACCAUGUCUCCAUGUAUGAGAUGGAGAGUGAGCUGUCCUCCACAUGCGUCCACACAUACUGCAUGUGCCCACACACUUGCAAAGAGACACAUGCAUCCAAAACAAAAAAAAAAAAAAAAAACCCAAACCACUAAAAAAACUGCCUAUGUUAGAUAUUCUGUCAAACUCUUUCUGUACACUUUUUAUCAUGUAUACAUUAUACCUCAACCUGGGUAGAUUUUAAAGCCAGCAUGCUUGUCCUUGAACCUUGUUUUCUUUCAUUUAUGUUCCCAAAAUGUGAAUCUUGGAGUGAAGUAGCUAGAGAUUAGAGUUAAGCUCUGUCCCGUUGGCUUUCUUGCAUAUUUAUGUAACUCUCCGCUUAGUUCAUCCUCUUGUUUCUCAGGACUUUAGGGGAGAAGUGACUUUCACUUGUGCACCAUUUUGAAAUCAUCUUACUUCCCAUGUGAUUUGAGAGUCAGUCACACUGUGGAACUGAGAGCAGUGUUUUCCAGUUUCAGGUUUGUUUUUAAAAAGGGUUUCCUAUCUUGAUGUUAGACAGAGAAGGAUGCUAUAACUUAUAGUUAUCAGAAUACUAACUGACUACAUAAAAAAGGGAAUGGCAGAAAAUAAAGCAGUGGAAGCACUGUGUUAAAUAGAAAUUCUGAAGCUUGGAGGGGCCUGAUGCCAGUGAUGUUGAGACUGAGUUCAAGGGCAUUCUGGGCUAUGUAGUACAGGCUCUCAAAGAGAAUAGUAAUAGUAAUAAUGAUAAUGACAUUAAUAAUAGUAACAGCAACAACAAUAAUAAUACAUCCGAGUCAUGGGUAAGCUGGUCAGUUAGAUUCUUUAAAGCCAAGGGCAGAGCUUUUCACACACACUAGCUCCUUUUUAAUAAAAAUGUUUAUGACCUCAAGGUAAUCUUCAGCUGUGCCAAAUAAAUUAUAAAUGUGUGCUUUAACGUGAAUCUGAGGGAAUUUCUUGUUAAGGAAUUGCUUAUUCUAUACCUUUUCCAAAUAAUGCUUUUUGUUUUAGGUUUAUGAGUUUUGCCUGUAUGUGUGCAUAUGUGCCACAUACAUGUCUGAUGCCUGUGGAGGUCUGAAGAGGGUAUUGGAUCACCUACUGGACUUAAACAUAGUUGUUAACCAUUAUGUGUUGGGGAGGGGACUGAACCUAGGUCUUAAGCAAGAGCAACAAUUGCUUUUAACUCGAAGUUACUUUUCUAGCCCCUUAUAUUUCAGUGUGUGUGUGUGUGUGUGCAAACUGGAGUAGAGUUUUCUGAGACCACUGGCUUCAGCUAGUUGUGGAUAGCAUCAAUUCUUCUUGAUUAAAAGCAGACAUGAUAAAGCAAGAACAUUUUAAAGAAGAAAAGUAUGAGCUAAGUGAGCAGUACUCUUACUAAACCAGAUGAGUAGCGUAUCCAAAUUAUAUGCUGGGAGAAGGCUCAUUCCAUUACCUAGACAGUAUGUGCCUACAGAUGAAUUGAUCCUGUUCUUAUAAAAUUGUGUUUUGUUUUGUUUUGUUUUGUUUUGUUUUUUAAGUAACAUGCUUAGCGUGUCUCUGCUGUUCUCUUGACCCCCCCAGCCCUCAUCCUCUUGGAAACUCUAUGGUAAUAAUCUGGUUGCUAUCCCUCCUCAGUUUUUCUGCUUUUGUUGGAGGCAGGUUCCAUUUGUGUAGCUCAGGCUGGUCUCACAUGUUGCAGUAUAUCUCUGUCUUGGCCUUCAUUGCUGGAAUUAUAGGGAUGAGCCAGCCUGCUAGGUCUAAGUGAUUUUGAAGACAUUUAAUUCAUAUUUACUUUAAAGCUUUUUAUGUGUGUGUUUAUUGAUUUUGCUUAUGUGGGUACUGUGUAUGCACACACAGGUGUAUGCACCCGCAGAGGCUAGAGAGGGGUUGGAUCCCCUGGAGCUGGAUUUACAGGUCGUAUGCCACCUGAUUUAGAAACCAGACUUGAGUCUUCUGCAGGAGCAUCAACUCCUAACUAUGGAGCCAGCUCUUCUCAGACUCCUAACUAAGGUGGAUUCAUAAUAAGCACCAUCACCUGAGCAAGCAUUCAGUCAAAGGAAAUGAAGUUGUGACAUCUGCAGGAGUGUUCACAAUAGCCAAGGUGUGGAGUCAACCAGAGUGUCCAUCACCCGGUGAGUGGAGUUUUAACAUAGCAUGUAACACAGUGGCAUGUUACUCAGCCAUAAAAAUGGGAUAAUCCUUCAAUGCCUGGGAGAGUGGAGCUUCAAGAUCCUGUAUUCAAUUAAACAAGCCACACACUGGACAGCAAAUGCCACAAAGCAGCAGUCAUUAGUGGGAAGAAACUACAGGCUCCAUUCAUAGAGGGAAAGCAGAAAUCACUCCAGAAUGACACACUGGGGAAGUGGGUCGUGGGAAGGACCGAGAGAGGAGCAAACAGAUGGGAGAAACUGGUUCUCGGUAGACAGUUCCCAGCAGUCCCAGACACAGCUCAAACACAGAAGAGUACAAACCUUCCAGCACAUGGGAGCGCUGGAGGAGAGGACUGUCAUCUGUCCUAAUUGAUUAUCAUUCAUGUGUCCAGAUUCUGUUGUUAUCGUUAGUGAACUGCAUCAGUUAAAAAGAAGAGUAAAGAACCUUCAGUGUGCCUUUACUGGACACGUUUACUACAGAAGAUGAAUAGCAGGCACUAUCCUCCGCCUUGUUAGCUCUGAGCUCCGGCUUUGACAUGGCGUUGAUGAGAACUGUUCUUUUUCUAUCAGCCUCCUAGCAUCUGUGGCCAGGAGUCACAUUUGCUGCAUUUAAAUAGACUAGUGUCUAAAUUAUCAGAUAUAUUGUAGUUAAAUGUUGAGUAAAAUUUGUGGCUGUGGAAUUUCACAUGUUACCGGGUAUUUAAAUGGUGAAGAAUGUUUUAUUAUAGUUAAAUAGCAACUAUGUAGUUAGAAAUGCAUAUUAAUAUAAAUUGUUUAAACUGAUAGUAAUAGUGAAUAGCUGUUAUGAAAUAUAUGAGUUUAUCUUACUUCACUAAGAGAUGAAGUGUUUUCAUUAGAAAAUACUAAUUCUUAGGGGUUUGUACUUAAAAAUUUUAAAUGUAUUUACUUUUUUAAAAUUGUGACAAAAGAUUCAUAGCAAAAUUUACUAUUUUCAAUAAAGGCAGAUAUUGGUUUUAGUGAAGAAAAGAAAAUACACCUUUUAGUCCUUGACUCCCAGUCAGUCCUUCAUCCUACAUUACUUGUGGUGUAAUUCAUACUCUUGGGGUCUCUGAAGAGACAGUGAAUUAUUUCCCUUCCAUUCUUAAAGAAUUCGCUGGCUACAGCUCUGUGCUGAUACUUAUCUCGCUAAUGUGUUUGCAUAGUAACACAGUAAUAGCGUUCAGUGUUUAUAAAUCACUUCCCGUCUAGGUAGUGAAGCCACUGAGUAUUUCAUCCUAGUGAUGCAGAGUGGUAUGUACUUACUGCAUGCAUGUGGUAGUGUGUUACAUGGAACAUUGUCAUGUUAGUAUGUAAUGGACUCCUCUCAUACAGUUAGUUCUCUCCUUCUCUUUAUCUCCCCCCCCCCCCCCCCCGUCCAGUCCCCUUUGUUCUCCUAGUUUGGCGUCUACAUUUAUGUCAGAUGUACAUACAUAAUUUUCUGUAUCUUUAUUAUGUCUAGGAUUCGUAUAUGAGAGAGAGCAUGCAAUAUCUGUCUUUCUGAGACUGACUGAUGAUAUUCUUACUAUGUCAUUCCCCAUUUCUAUCCAUUCUCUUGCAAACAACAUUUUUUAUUGUUCUCUCUGGCUGAAUAAAAUUUCUGUGUAUAUAUGUGUGUACAUCAUACUUUCUUUAUCCAUUUCUUUGUUAAGUUUAUGUCUAUUCCUAGGCUGGUUCUAUAACUUAGCUAUGGUGAAUGUCAGCAGUAAACACUGACUGCUGUGUAAGUCUUUCUGUGACUUACUGACCUGAAGUCCAUUGGGUAAAUACCCAAGGUGCUACAGCUGAGUCCUAUGAUAGAUCUAAUUUUAGAUUUUGUUUGUUUGCUUGCUUGCUUUUGUAAAUCCAUACUGAUUUCCGUAUGGCUGGAUUAAGUUCUCUUUCUACUAGGAGUAUAUGAGGAUUUGUUCCCCUGGUUCCACAUGGUUUCCAGAGCUGUUAUUUCUUUUUCUUUUUUUCUUUUUUUUUUUUUUUUCGUGACUGGCCAUUCUGACUAGAGUAAGAUGGAAUCUCAACAUAGUUCUACUUUGCAUUUAACUGCUAGCUAGGACAUUUUUCUCAUGUGUAUUGUUCAUUUGCACUUCAUCGUUUGAGAGCUGUGUUCAGUGCAUUACCUACUGUUGACUGGUGACAUCGAGUCCUUUGACCCGGCAACCUUUACCACUUGUCUCCUCAGCAAGUAUCAUUGUGCCACUCAAGAACUCUCUACCUAUUGGCCAAACGCUCCCGCUCUUGGUACAGACUUAUAUUCUGUGUCUCUGUGGACCUAAGGUUUGCAGGUACUCUGUGGGGAGAAACCAACCAUGCAACACAUGGCCUUAACACUGGCACACCGUUUGCAGGUUUCAUUCAUGUUCUAGUGUGUAUCAGAAUUCUGACACUUUGGGCGGGGGGGGGGGGGGGGGGAUGAUUUGAGACAGCAUCUCACUUGGUAGCCCAGGAUGACCUGGACCUCAGGGCAUCCUCCAGCCUUAUCCUCCCAGGUGUUGGCAUUACAGGUGUAAGCCACUGCCUGGUAGAAGUUUAUUGUUUUAAUGCUGAGCACUGCUGGAUUGUGGGUCCAUGCUGUAUUUUGUUUACCAUUGUUCCAACAGCAGCAUUUCUAACCUCGUAAAGUGGAUAGAUUACAGACAAGAAUCAGCCUCAGGCCGGGCGUGGUGGCACACGCCUUUAAUCCCAGCCCUCGGGAGGCAGAGGCAGGAGGAUUUAUGAGUUCAAGGCCAGCCUGGUCUACAAAGUGAGUUCCAGGACAGCCAGGGCUACACAGAGAAACCCUGUCUUGAAAAAAAAAAAAACAAAAACAAAACAAAAAAAAACAACAAAAAAAAGAAUCAGCCUCAGAAGUCACCUCAUCGGUCCAGCCACCUCAGAUACAUGAGAUUAGGCAGUUAUUACAAGAAGAAUGUCAGACGAUGCCAGGAAAGCCUGGAGAUGAAUGUUUUAUUUAAAAUUAA
Mus musculus (house mouse) is the source of this 16649-nucleotide long non-coding RNA. RefSeq annotates it as predicted gene 43560. The record is from RefSeq and is a predicted model, not a curated record. The transcript is spliced from 2 exons. NCBI's taxonomy places the organism in Eukaryota, Metazoa, Chordata, Mammalia, Rodentia, Muridae.